GAAUUAAGAUACCCAAGAAAAAGCUUCUAACUUUAAUCUUAAGCGGUGUAACUCCGUUUUUAAUUCA
Molecule: transfer RNA, 67 nt
Filed under: Hylobius abietis (large pine weevil)
Lineage: Eukaryota; Metazoa; Arthropoda; Insecta; Coleoptera; Curculionidae
Also listed under: 2 other names
Description: tRNA-Ser
Source: RNAcentral